Molecule: long non-coding RNA, 1124 nt
Filed under: Coturnix japonica (Japanese quail)
Lineage: Eukaryota; Metazoa; Chordata; Aves; Galliformes; Phasianidae
Description: lncRNA (ENSCJPG00005006481.1)
Source: RNAcentral
CCCCCUAAACCCCCCAAAAUCCCUUCUAUACCCCCCAUUUCCACCAUCAAUCCCCCAUAACAUGCUGUUAUUUAACCCAUCCUUUUCCCCCCCCCCAUAUACAGGUAUUAAGGAGCUGGGAUACGGGUUACCCUAAACGUAGCGCGGGCGAAUCCUUCCUCAUCUGCGGGACUCUUUACGUCACCAAUUCUCACCUGGCUGGAGCUAAAAUCUAUUUCGCUUAUCACACGUCGACUUCGAGUUACGAAUACACGGACAUCCCCUUCCAUAAUCAAUACUCUCAUAUCUCCAUGCUGGACUAUAACCCACGCGAGAGGGUCCUUUAUACCUGGAAUAACGGGCAUCAAGUGCUCUAUAACGUCACCCUAUUUCACGUCGUCGAGACGGAUGGGGAGAUCUGAGCCUUCCUGACCCUCGUUCAUGGUCUGCUCUGUGCUGCUGUGUCGCAUUGGGAGCCUUCAUCCUCCUCUUCCUCACUUAUUGCACAUUGGGGUUCCAUCAUGUCAUGCUUUAAGCCCUAACCUUUUCCUAUCUGCCUUCGUGCCAUGGUUGGAGCCUUCAUCCUCCUCUUCCUCCAUUGGUUUUGCACAUUGGGGUUCCAUCAUGUCACGCACUGAGUCCCAGCUCCCUUCUCUUUGUCUUUGUGCCAUGAUUGGAGCCUUCCUCCUCCUCCUCUUCCUCACAUUUGCCUUCGUGCCACGGUUGGAGCCGCCUUCUUCCUCCUCCUCCUCUUCCUCCUUCUCUUCCUCUUCUUCCUCUUCUUCCCUUCCUCUUCCUCUUCCUCCUCCUCUUUCUCUUCCCUUCCCCUUCCUCUUCCUCCUCCUCUUCCUCUUCCUCUUCCUCCUCCUUUUCCUCUUCCCCUUCCUCCUCCUCUUCCUCCUCGUCCUCCUCUUCCUCCUCCUCUUCCUCUUCCUCCUCCUCCUCUUCCUCCUUCUGACUUGCGGAAUCAAACUCUAUAAUCCAGAGAUGGGUUAUAAAGCAGGUAUGUUUAUUCCAGCGUUGCGCAGCGCCGGGUGCAAGGGGGAUAGCUCCACCAAACUUGCACACCGUAAAGAGAAAAGUGUGUUACAGAUAUAGGUUAAGCUAAUACAUAAUCAAUAGUCUCCUCCUCAGUUUGAUUACAU